GAUCCUUGCUCAGGAUAAACGCUGGCGGCGCACAUAAGACAUGCAAGUCGAACGGACUUAACCAUUAGUUUACUAUUGGAGCGGUUAGUGGCGGACUGGUGAGUAACACGUAAGCAACCUGCCUAUCAGAGGGGAACAACAGUUAGAAAUGACUGCUAAUACCGCAUAUGCCUAAGUACCACAUGGUACAAUAGGGAAAGGAGUAAUCCGCUGAUAGAUGGGCUUGCGUCUGAUUAGA
This 238-nucleotide ribosomal RNA is filed under the name uncultured bacterium. RNAcentral describes it as "partial 16S ribosomal RNA". It matches the Rfam family "Bacterial small subunit ribosomal RNA", at positions 15 to 245 of the family's 1533-position model. The record is from RNAcentral.